UGCGCGNCUANCAUGCAAGUUGAGCGCUGAAGGUUGGUACUUGUACCGACUGGAUGAGCAGCGAACGGGUGAGUAACGCGUGGGGAAUCUGCCUUUGAGCGGGGGACAACAUUUGGAAACGAAUGCUAAUACCGCAUAAAAACUUUAAACACAAGUUUUAAGUUUGAAAGAUGCAAUUGCAUCACUCAAAGAUGAUCCCGCGUUGUAUUAGCUAGUUGGUGAGGUAAAGGCUCACCAAGGCGAUGAUACAUAGCCGACCUGAGAGGGUGAUCGGCCACAUUGGGACUGAGACACGGCCCAAACUCCUACGGGAGGCAGCAGUAGGGAAUCUUCGGCAAUGGACGAAAGUCUGACCGAGCAACGCCGCGUGAGUGAAGAAGGUUUUCGGAUCGUAAAACUCUGUUGGUAGAGAAGAACGUUGGUGAGAGUGGAAAGCUCAUCAAGUGACGGUAACUACCCAGAAAGGGACGGCUAACUACGUGCCAGCAGCCGCGGUAAUACGUAGGUCCCGAGCGUUGUCCGGAUUUAUUGGGCGUAAAGCGAGCGCAGGUGGUUUAUUAAGUCUGGUGUAAAAGGCAGUGGCUCAACCAUUGUAUGCAUUGGAAACUGGUAGACUUGAGUGCAGGAGAGGAGAGUGGAAUUCCAUGUGUAGCGGUGAAAUGCGUAGAUAUAUGGAGGAACACCGGUGGCGAAAGCGGCUCUCUGGCCUGUAACUGACACUGAGGCUCGAAAGCGUGGGGAGCAAACAGGAUUAGAUACCCUGGUAGUCCACGCCGUAAACGAUGAGUGCUAGAUGUAGGGAGCUAUAAGUUCUCUGUAUCGCAGCUAACGCAAUAAGCACUCCGCCUGGGGAGUACGACCGCAAGGUUGAAACUCAAAGGAAUUGACGGGGGCCCGCACAAGCGGUGGAGCAUGUGGUUUAAUUNGAAGCAACGCGAAGAACCUUACCAGGUCUUGACAUACUCGUGCUAUUCCUAGAGAUAGGAAGUUCCUUCGGGACACGGGAUACAGGUGGUGCAUGGUUGUCGUCAGCUCGUGUCGUGAGAUGUUGGGUUAAGUCCCGCAACGAGCGCAACCCCUAUUGUUAGUUGCCAUCAUUAAGUUGGGCACUCUAACGAGACUGCCGGUGAUAAACCGGAGGAAGGUGGGGAUGACGUCAAAUCAUCAUGCCCCUUAUGACCUGGGCUACACACGUGCUACAAUGGAUGGUACAACGAGUCGCGAGACAGUGAUGUUUAGCUAAUCUCUUAAAACCAUUCUCAGUUCGGAUUGUAGGCUGCAACUCGCCUACAUGAAGUNGGAAUCGCUAGUAAUCGCGGAUCAGCACGCCGCGGUGAAUACGUUCCCGGGCCUUGUACACACCGCCCGUCACACCACGGGAGUUGGGAGUACCCGAAGUAGGUUGCCUAACCGCAAGGAGGGCGCUUCCUAAGGUAAGACCGAUGAGCUGGGGGAAGUC
This 1459-nucleotide ribosomal RNA is filed under the name uncultured bacterium. RNAcentral's name for it is "bacterial SSU rRNA". It matches the Rfam family "Bacterial small subunit ribosomal RNA". The record is from RNAcentral.